Molecule: ribosomal RNA, 291 nt
Filed under: uncultured bacterium
Lineage: Bacteria
Description: partial 16S ribosomal RNA
Source: RNAcentral
GGACUACACGGGUUUCUAAUCCUGUUUGCUCCCCACGCUUUCGCGCCUCAGCGUCAGUUAUAGGCCAGAAAGUCGCCUUCGCCACUGGUGUUCCUCCACAUCUCUACGCAUUUCACCGCUACACGUGGAAUUCCACUUUCCUCUCCUACACUCAAGUCAACCAGUUUUGGAUGCGAACCGGGGUUGAGCCCCGGGCUUAAACACCCAACUUAAUUGACCGCCUGCGCGCGCUUUACGCCCAAUAAUUCCGGACAACGCUUGCCCCCUACGUAUUACCGCGGCUGCUGGCAC